UUCGUAGGCGGCGCGUUAAGUCGGGUGUGAAAUCCCUCGGCUCAACCGAGGAAUUGCGCCCGAAACUGGCGUGCUUGAGUAAGAUAGAGGUGAGCGGAACUGAUGGUGGAGCGGUGAAAUGCGUUGAUAUCAUCAGGAACACCGGUGGCGAAAGCGGCUCACUGGGUCUUAACUGACGCUGAGGAACGAAAGCUAGGGUAGCGAACG
This 207-nucleotide ribosomal RNA is filed under the name uncultured Planctomycetaceae bacterium. RNAcentral's name for it is "partial 16S ribosomal RNA". It matches the Rfam family "Bacterial small subunit ribosomal RNA", at positions 568 to 774 of the family's 1533-position model. Lineage: Bacteria; Pseudomonadati; Planctomycetota; Planctomycetia; Planctomycetales; Planctomycetaceae. The record is from RNAcentral.